UACGUAGGGUGCGAGCGUUAAUCGGAAUUACUGGGCGUAAAGCGUGCGCAGGCGGUUUUGUAAGCCCGGUGUGAAAUCCCCGGGCUCAACCUGGGAAUGGCAUUUGGGACUGCAAGGCUGGAGUGCGGCAGAGGAGACUGGAAUUCCUGGUGUAGCAGUGAAAUGCGUAGAUAUCAGGAGGAAUACCGAUGGCGAAGGCAGGUCACUGGGCUGACACUGACGCUCAUGCACGAAGGCUAGGGGAGCGAACGGG
Molecule: ribosomal RNA, 253 nt
Filed under: uncultured bacterium
Lineage: Bacteria
Description: partial 16S ribosomal RNA
Rfam family: Bacterial small subunit ribosomal RNA
Source: RNAcentral